Molecule: ribosomal RNA, 497 nt
Filed under: uncultured bacterium
Lineage: Bacteria
Description: partial 16S ribosomal RNA
Rfam family: Bacterial small subunit ribosomal RNA
Source: RNAcentral
GAUGAACGCUGGCGGCGUGCCUAAUACAUGCAAGUCGAGCGAACAGACGAGGAGCUUUCUCCUCUGACGUUAGCGGCGGACGGGUGAGUAACACGUGGAUAACCUACCUAUAAGACUUGGAUAACUUCGGGAAACCGGAGCUAAUACCGGAUAAUAUAUUGAACCGCAUGGUUCAAUAGUGAAAGACGGUUUUGCUGUCACUUAUAGAUGGAUCCGCGCCGCAUUAGCUAGUUGGUAAGGUAACGGCUUACCAAGGCAACGAUGCGUAGCCGACCUGAGAGGGUGAUCGGCCACACUGGAACUGAGACACGGUCCAGACUCCUACGGGAGGCAGCAGUAGGGAAUCUUCCGCAAUGGGCGAAAGCCUGACGGAGCAACGCCGCGUGAGUGAUGAAGGUCUUCGGAUCGUAAAACUCUGUUAUUAGGGAAGAACAAAUGUGUAAGUAACUAUGCACGUCUUGACGGUACCUAAUCAGAAAGCAACGGCUAACUACGUG